CUGUGUUAAUUAUGCUACCCCGUCGAGCAGGGAUCAUUACCCUUGCUGCAUGUUUUGUUCCAAGAAAGACGCCAGUCAAGUUUACUUUAAUCACAUCCUCAAAUUCAGAUAAUUUGUUUUCAAGUAUCUUUGUUUUGUUUACACCGCUUAUGCCAGCGUUGUUAAACAUGAUAUCUAGUUUACCGUACUUGAAAACGGUUGUGUUCACGGCAUUUUCAAUGUCUUCUUCCUUUGUCACGUCACAACGAACAUAGGAAGAAGACGAUUUUUGUAAUUCCUUGCAAAUAGAGUGUCCUUUGUCGUCUUGGAUGUCAGCUAUAACGACUUGAGCUCCAUGCUCGGAGAAGAGUCUUGCAGUGGCCUCACCAAUGCCGCUCGCACCACCGGUGAUCAAAGCUACCUUCCCCUCAAGCCUUGUAAAUGAAUUGAGCAUGACAAAUUGUAAGUUAACUAUAACUUAAUUACAGUUCUAUAAGGUGAUAACCAAUUGUGUUUAUUAUAUAUAUAUAAAAUAAAAUAAAAUAUCAUUUUUAAGAAAUAAAUGAAAUAAGGUGAAGUUGCAACUUGUUUAUACCUUCUUAAGGCAUUAGAGACCAAUGGAACGGUUGACAUUGUUAGCUUUUCAAGUUUCUGGAUAGUCGAGGAGAAAUAUAGGUUUGGAUCUUCACUUCCUUCAACUAUCUUAUUGCAUCGUCCAUUAAAUAAAGCCCCAAGCUUUAAUCAUUUUUUCAAUAGUACUAAUGUUGGCGUUGAAUUAUUAUGUAGUUGCCUUCGUGGACCGUAGUAACACAAGGAACUUAUGGACCACAUGUUUUAAUUUUUAAAAAUUAUGCAGAAAGUGAUGUGUACCAACCAUUUACCAAUAAUGAAUGAAUGAGAAACGUUAAUUAGUGGCCUGUUAAGGAAACUGUUAGAGUCCACAUCGGUUAAAUAAAAGUGUUUGAUGUGAUACUUACGCCACCAAACUCUCCCAUUAAUAGACUAGCUAGUCUUUUGGAUUGGGUUCUCUUUAUAGACUUAAGUCCUAACAAUAUUGGUGCUCUCGUUGAGAGUUGGACCACGGAAAGGUUUAUAUAUAUUCUAGAUUCAGGUGCUCCACCGAAUACUGAUAGGUGAGUGAAGCCGCCAAAAAGGAAAGGGCUACCAUUAGGUCAGUGCCGAUAGAGUAAAAGUCGUCGUGGACGUCGGCUCUUAAAAGGUGUGACUAUUUUAGGAGUCCUACAUCGACUAAAUAAAAGUACUUGAUGUGGUACUUAAACCAUGAGACUCUUCCACCUAAUGAACCAAUUUUUUGAGUUGGGUCAUGAGUUUAAGUCCUAACAGAAACUAAUCUCAAAAUUUUACAUUGAAAAAUAGUAAACAAAUAGUAUGUUCAAAUUUUUGAAAGAAAAAAUUGUUGUUUUCAAUGAUAGAAACUUAGUAAGACUUUUUACUUACUUUUUAAAUUUAUGUCAAAAAAAUAAGUCAAUAAUACUCAUGUUCUGGAUUAGAGCCCGACCCAGCUCGUUAAAUAAAUAGACUCGAUCAUAUAUAGAGGUACAUGUUAAAGAGAGCAAUGCUAACGACAUAUCCUAAAAUAUCCGUCUAUCAUCCUAUCAUUACAUGAUCAAGAUUAGACGACAAACUAAAAUAUAUGUCAGAUAUUCAUCAACAGACUCUAAUGGGAGGGGAUUCUCUCCUGUGACUGGAGAGUUCAGUGAGAUCCUCUCCAUUCAAUUUUUUUAAUUGCAAGCAUUUAUAAUUAUUAAAAGGAUAAUUAAAAGUUCAGAUUUUCACUAGAGUAUCUAGUGAAAUUUUCACUGGAGAGGAUCCAAGUUCAUGUUUUUCACCACGUCCUCUUGUCUUGAAAUCCCAUCUAUUAAAGGAUGCAAAAGAGAAAGGUACAAAAUCAUGUUUUAAGACACAUGUGUGUUUGUUUUAAGUUUAUCAAAUUUAUUCUUAGGAAUAACAUUCCUUGGAAUAUAAAGAUAGAAAUUUUAUUCCAAGGAAUUUAAGAAAAAUAUGUUUGGUUAGCUUUAUAAUAUUCCUAUGAACUAUAAAAAUAGGGAUUAUAAUAGGAAAAUUAUUUAUAAAUUUAUUCCCAUCUCCAUGGGAACUUUAUUCCCACCAUUUUUCUUGGAAAUUUUUUUCUAUUCCCAGGAACAUUUUAUACACGGGAAUAAAAUUUAGUAAACUUAUACCAAACAUAGACAUAUACAUUCCUAUCAUUUUAUUCCCAGAAAUCAACAAUUAUAACUUGAAACAAACACACUCUAAUGUUCUAAAAGUAACUUAACAUGCAAAUCUAAUCAUCGUGAAUAUGUCAAUGUUGAAGAUUGGUUGUUGCAUUGCAAGAGAAAUAAAAGCAAAACUCAUCCUACAAACAUCAUGCAAACAGCCACUACAAAAUAAUGGAUAUAAUCAAUAUCUUUUGUUUUUGUAACAAUAACUUAUUAUUUUUUAUAAUUUCGAAUAUGUUAGUUUAUAUAUUGUGUAUAGAAAUUAGUUCGAUUUUGAUAAAUAUCAAUUUGUUUGUUAAAUGCAUCAGAUACAACUACAAAUUUUGAAGUCAUCACUAAGAAAAAGCAUUUUCAUCGCACAUCUAUUCACAAAAAUUUAUUAAAAUCAACAGUUCUUGAUUUUGAUAAUAUAUCUGAUGAUGAACUUCUGGAUAUUUCCUAGACUACUUAAGGUACACUAUAAAAUAUAUUACAUUUACAUGAGCUACAUUAGUUCUUUGUUUUUGUUUGGAUUUUCGUAUAAAAUAUGAGUUGUGCUAUAUGAUACGACAUCUUUAUCGCACCAUUUGCACGACCAUGUAUAUAAUUUUUUGACACAAGUAAGAUAAAAUAUUGUUUUCUACCACAAGUAAAAUAAUAUAUAAACUUAAUUAUUUCACAAUAUGAAUUGCAUUGACUUGGUAAUGGAUUACCACAAUAUUCUCCACCAAUAGUUUGGAGCGGUGCUUCUGCCACAAAACAUCCUUUUGAAAUAUUGUAGUGUAAUUCAACAAAGCCAAACCAUCAGGGUAUACAUGGUAUGCCAUAUCAUACAAAACAAAAACGUUGAAGUGAUAAGUUAAGAAAGAGAGAUAUGGCUAGAAAUAUACUUUAAAAAACCUGUCGUACCAUAAAACAUUUUCCAUAAAAUAUAUUACAUAGUUUGUAUCUGUUGGGUCACCGGAGAAGCUCGGGGGACCGUACACAUCGAGGCUAUAACAACCACUCAAGUAAGAGAGACACCACACUCUUACCUAAAACCUUAAGGCAAUGGGUUUAUGGGUCCUCUUAUUUAUAAGGUAUUCAACCUUUACUAUUUUAUCCGAUGUAGGACCGAUGUGGGACAUAUAACUCAGACUUGCAAACCAACACCCCCCUCAAGUGUGAGUCUAUCUAUUCAUCAUGCUCCCCCUUCAAGCGGAAACUCUUAUUUUACCUGUAUCGCCGUUCCUGCACAAGGAGCCACUUGCUGCUUGUACCGCCGUUGCGACUUUCUGCACAACCACCGGCUGCCUCGGUCGCACACUUCGUCGAACCGGGGCUCUGAUAUGGGACAUAUAACUCACACUUGCAAACCAACAUUACGAAGUAAUUAAUUCUCAUGCUAUAUAAUUAUUUCCGUAGCAAGAAACCAAACUUGGGAACUAGUUCAACUUCCUAAGAAUAAAAAACAAUUGGAGUCAACUAGGUUUUCAAAGUGAAAAUAAACUCAAUGAAUGAAGUGAAGUGAUAAGGCAAAAGUGAAGAUUAGUAGAAAAAUGUUUCCUGCAAAUAGAAGGAACGGACUUUGAUGAAGUAUUUGCACUUUUUUCAAGAAUCGAAACUAUCAGUAGUAACUGUUAUAUCAAACAUCAACAAUUGGUUUAUACAUCAAUUGGAUGUAAAACCAGAUUUUCAAAAUGGUCUAUGCAGGAAAAAGUAAACAUAGAUCCACCUCUUGGAUUUUUAGUGAAGAAUCAGGAAACAAAAGUGUAUGAGCUCAGAAAAGCGCUAUGGGAUCAAGCAAGCACGAAGAGCAUGGAACAAGGGGAUUGACAAGUUUCUCACUAAUCAAACACUUCGAAUAUAGGAGUAUACCAAGUUACCAAGAGCCAGACUCACAACAUGAUGAACUAACGUUCAAAUUCUAAUUGAGAGAAGUUCCCGUUCAAUGUUGAUACAACUAAUAAAUUGAAAAUAGUUUGAAUAUGGAACCAUUACCUUAUCAUCAUUUAUAUACGGUCGAUCUUAUCUUAUAUCAACUAUGAACUAACUUAUCAAUGCGAAUGCACAAGUAUUUUGCUAGUUAUGAAUGAAUAGAUAAAUACUUAUACGUACGUAACACAUAUUUAGACAGAUUCUCCAAACACACAAAACCCAUUAUUUACAACCGUGAAUCCUCCAUCGAUGACAAGAUUGUGACCACUAACAUACUUAGACUCAUCACUUCCCAAGUAUAGAGCAGCUUCAGCCACAUCUUUUGGCACAAGAUUAGCACCCUUUAGGUUAGAAUAAACAUCUAAAACAUCAUCAUCAUCAUCGAGCUUAAAAUAUUUCUUAACCAACGGAGUUGCAACAAUAUAAGGUGACACACAAUUCACCCGAAUACCAAACCGUCCAAGCUCGAUGGCCGUGUUUCUCAUCAGCCCAACAACGGCGUGCUUUGCACUUGUGUAGGCAUGUGGAGCGACACCACCUAUGCUUCCACAAACACUAGCUGUGUUAAUUAUGCUACCCCGUCGAGCGGGGAUCAUUACCCUUGAUGCAUGCUUUGUUCCAAGAAAGACACCAGUCAAGUUUACUUUAAUCACAUCCUCAAAUUCAGAUAAUUUGUUUUCAAGUAUCUUUGUUUUGUUUACACCGCUUAUGCCAGCGUUGUUAAACAUGAUAUCUAGUUUACCGUACUUGAAAACGGUUGU
Molecule: long non-coding RNA, 4876 nt
Filed under: Medicago truncatula (barrel medic)
Lineage: Eukaryota; Viridiplantae; Streptophyta; Magnoliopsida; Fabales; Fabaceae
Description: long non-coding RNA (MTRU_LNC001796)
Source: RNAcentral